CGUAGGUGGCAAGCGUUGUCCGGAUUUAUUGGGUUUAAAGGGUGCGUAGGCGGUUUUAUAAGUCAGUGGUGAAAUACGGCAGCUCAACUGUCGAGGUGCCAUUGAUACUGUAGAACUUGAGUACAGACGAGGUAGGCGGAAUUGACGGUGUAGCGGUGAAAUGCUUAGAUAUCGUCAAGAACACCGAUAGCGAAGGCAGCUUACUAGGCUGUAACUGACGCUGAGGCACGAAAGUGUGGGGAUCAAACAGGAUUAGAUACCCUGGUAGUCCACACUGUAAACGAUGAUUACUCGAUGUUGGCGAUACACAGCCAGCGUCUUAGCGAAAGCGAUAAGUAAUCCACCUGGGGAGUACGCCGGCAACGGUG
Molecule: ribosomal RNA, 368 nt
Filed under: uncultured organism
Description: bacterial SSU rRNA
Rfam family: Bacterial small subunit ribosomal RNA
Source: RNAcentral